CCUACGGGAGGCAGCAGUGGGGAAUAUUGGACAAUGGGCGAAAGCCUGAUCCAGCAAUGCCGCGUGAGUGAAGAAGGCCUUCGGGUUGUAAAGCUCUUUUACCCGGGAAGAUAAUGACUGUACCGGGAGAAUAAGCUCCGGCUAACUCCGUGCCAGCAGCCGCGGUAAUACGGAGGGAGCUAGCGUUGUUCGGAAUUACUGGGCGUAAAGCGUACGUAGGCGGCUUGGUAAGUCAGAGGUGAAAGCCCACGACUCAAUCGUGGAACUGCCUUUGAGACUGCUUCGCUUGAAGAUGGGAGAGGUUAGUGGAAUUCCGAGUGUAGAGGUGAAAUUCGUAGAUAUUCGGAAGAACACCAGUGGCGAAGGCGGCUAACUGGACCAUUCUUGACGCUGAGGUACGAAAGCGUGGGAGCAAACAGGAUUAGAUACCCUGGUAGUCCACGCCGUAAACGAUGAUAACUAGCUGUCGGGUCUCGUUGGAGCGUCGGUGGUCGCGACGCUACGCGAUAAGUUAUACCGUCCGUCGGGUAGGUACGGUCCGCGACGGUUAAACGUUAAACGUAGUAAGUUAGUACGGCGUGAGACGUGCCGACGACGACGACGAGGGAGUA
RNAcentral lists this ribosomal RNA (611 nucleotides) under uncultured bacterium. RNAcentral describes it as "bacterial SSU rRNA". The stretch from base 1 to 521 matches the Rfam family "Bacterial small subunit ribosomal RNA", at positions 338 to 873 of the family's 1533-position model. The record is from RNAcentral.